CCUACGGGUGGCAGCAGUGGGGAAUAUUGCACAAUGGGGGAAACCCUGAUGCAGCAACGCCGCGUGAGUGAGGAAGUAUUUCGGUAUGUAAAGCUCUAUCAGCAGGGAAUAGAAAAGAAGGUACCUGAAAAAGAAGCCCCGGCUAACUACGUGCCAGCAGCCGCGGUAAUACGUAGGUGGCAAGCGUUGUCCGGAUUUACUGGGUGUAAAGGGCGUGCAGCCGGGAAGACAAGUCAGAUGUGAAAUCCCGCGGCUCAACCGCGGAACUGCAUUUGAAACUGUUUUUCUUGAGUAUCGGAGAGGUAAUCGGAAUUCCUAGUGUAGCGGUGAAAUGCGUAGAUAUUAGGAAGAACACCAGUGGCGAAGGCGGAUUACUGGACGACAACUGACGGUGAGGCGCGAAAGCGUGGGGAGCAAACAGGAUUAGAUACCCUUGUAGUC
This 441-nucleotide ribosomal RNA is filed under the name uncultured bacterium. RNAcentral's name for it is "partial 16S ribosomal RNA". It matches the Rfam family "Bacterial small subunit ribosomal RNA", at positions 338 to 795 of the family's 1533-position model. The record is from RNAcentral.